RNAcentral lists this unclassified non-coding RNA (706 nucleotides) under Hevea brasiliensis (rubber tree). Lineage: Eukaryota; Viridiplantae; Streptophyta; Magnoliopsida; Malpighiales; Euphorbiaceae. The record is from RNAcentral.
GAGAGAGUCCUCUUUUAAUGUCGGCAAGUAGCACUCUCCUGCCCUAUGUUGGGAGCAUGGGAAGGCCUUCAUUUACUCAGAGUGUGGGUUUGCUCUCCUUAUCUCUGGGUGAGGUGUAUAUAAAAUUUUUGCAGACAAGUGGUGAUAAAGUGAGGGUCUUCUAGUGGUCUGCCUCUGUGUUUCAACCCAGCAACUCAAAGCUUCAAUAAGGGAUUUGAAGAUCUAUUCCCUCUGUGUGUUGGAUUGAUGUUGUUUUGGUUAUCUCUUCAUAUCGAUAUGUUACUUAUGGUAUGGUAGAUCCUAGAGAUGCUACCAUAUCCUUCGGUUGACAUUCAGUCUCUUAAAUGAUCAUGAAUGCCUAAAAGAGAGAGCACCUACGACCUGAAGAUCCUUUGUUUGAUCAUGUCUUUAGCCAUAUAUUUUGGUCUGGGGCUAUACUUGUUUGUAGGGGUUUCGUCUAAUUCAGGCAUCACCUUCUUUUUCCGAUGUUUUGGCCUUUCUUACGUGUGUUUUCUUAGCGUUGUUAUUGUCUGGCUUGUUGCUCUCUGUGCGAUGCUUCUCUACUGUUGGCUCGCCGACUACAAUUUGGAGCCUCCGAUUCUGAAUGUUUCUUCGUUUGGAGUCAAAGGCCUUUGUAUUUAAAGUUGGGUGGCUUUUAAAAUAAGAGUUUUUCUAAUGAUUUACUCCCUACGUCUCAUUGUAACUG